Molecule: ribosomal RNA, 394 nt
Filed under: Bellatorias frerei (major skink)
Lineage: Eukaryota; Metazoa; Chordata; Lepidosauria; Squamata; Scincidae
Description: partial 16S rRNA
Rfam family: Bacterial large subunit ribosomal RNA (bases 278-394)
Source: RNAcentral
CACAGCACAAAGCAACAAAUACCAAUAACGCCUUUAAUCUCCUAGAAACUAAUUGAGCCACACUAUUAUUAUAGAUGAACUAAUGCUAGAACUAGUAACAAGAAAACUUUCUCUUAGCACAGCUGUGUCCCAGAAAUAGAAAAACUACUGGACAUUAACAGACCAAAACAGGCACAACAACACACAGCUAAAACUGUUUUAAAUACUGUCAACCCGACACUGGCGUGCCCAAAAGACAGAUUAAAAGCCGUAUAAGGAACUCAGCAAAACCUUGUCCCAACUGUUUACCAAAAACAUAGCCUUUAGCCAAAUAAGUAUUAAAGGUCCCGCCUGCCCAGUGAAAUAUUUUUAAACGGCCGCGGUAUCCUAACCGUGCAAAGGUAGCGUAAUCACU